GACGAACGCUGGCGGCGUGCUUAACACAUGCAAGUCGAACGGUGAAGCGCCUUCCUUUUUGGUGGGUGUGGAUGAGUGGCGAACGGGUGAGUAACACGUGAGUAACCUGCCCCCUUCUUCUGGAUAACCGCAUGAAAGUGUGGCUAAUACGGGAUAUUCUGGGUCUGUCGCAUGAUGGGUCUGGGAAAGAUAUUGUUUCGGUGGGGGAUGGGCUCGCGGCCUAUCAGCUUGUUGGUGGGGUGAUGGCCUACCAAGGCGGUGACGGGUAGCCGGCCUGAGAGGGUGGACGGUCACACUGGGGCUGAGACACGGCCCAGACUCCUACGGGAGGCAGCAGUGGGGAAUAUUGCACAGUGGGCGCAAGCCUGAUGCAGCGACGCCGCGUGAGGGAUGGAGGCCUUCGGGUUGUGAACCUCUUUCGCCAGUGAAGCAGGCCUGCCUCGUUUGUGGGUGGGUUGACGGUAGCUGGAUAAGAAGCGCCGGCUAACUACGUG
This 494-nucleotide ribosomal RNA is filed under the name uncultured bacterium. Its description in RNAcentral is "partial 16S ribosomal RNA". It matches the Rfam family "Bacterial small subunit ribosomal RNA", at positions 28 to 507 of the family's 1533-position model. The record is from RNAcentral.